This 484-nucleotide ribosomal RNA is filed under the name uncultured bacterium. RNAcentral describes it as "partial 16S ribosomal RNA". It matches the Rfam family "Bacterial small subunit ribosomal RNA", at positions 30 to 507 of the family's 1533-position model. The record is from RNAcentral.
AUUGAACGCUGGCGGCAGGCCUAACACAUGCAAGUCGAGCGGAUGAAGGGAGCUUGCUCCUGGAUUCAGCGGCGGACGGGUGAGUAAUGCCUAGGAAUCUGCCUGGUAGUGGGGGAUAACGUCCGGAAACGGGCGCUAAUACCGCAUACGUCCUGAGGGAGAAAGUGGGGGAUCCUCGGACCUCACGCUCUCAGAUGAGCCUAGGUCGGAUUAGCUAGUUGGUGGGGUAAAGGCCUACCAAGGCGACGAUCCGUAACUGGUCUGAGAGGAUGAUCAGUCACACUGGAACUGAGACACGGUCCAGACUCCUACGGGAGGCAGCAGUGGGGAAUAUUGGACAAUGGGCGAAAGCCUGAUCCAGCCAUGCCGCGUGUGUGAAGAAGGUCUUCGGAUUGUAAAGCACUUUAAGUUGGGAGGAAGGGCAGUAAGUUAAUACCUUGCUGUUUUGACGUUACCAACAGAAUAAGCACCGGCUAACUUCGUG